AACGAACGCUGGCGGCAGGCUUAACACAUGCAAGUCGAACGGGCACCUUCGGGUGUCAGUGGCAGACGGGUGAGUAACGCGUGGGAACGUACCCUUCGGUUCGGAAUAACCCAGGGAAACUUGGGCUAACACCGGAUACGUCCGCAAGGAGAAAGAUUUAUCGCCGAAGGAUCGGCCCGCGUCGGAUUAGCUAGUUGGUGGGGUAAUGGCCCACCAAGGCGACGAUCCGUAGCUGGUCUGAGAGGAUGANCAGCCACACUGGGACUGAGACACGGCCCAGACUCCUACGGGAGGCAGCAGUGGGGAAUUGUCCGCAAUGGGCGCAAGCCUGACGACGCAACGCCGCGUGGAGGAUGAAGAUUUUCGGAUCGUAAACUCCUGUCGAAUGGGACGAAUAGAUUGCGGGUUAACAGCCCGUAGUCCUGACGGUACCGUUAAAGGAAACCCCGGCUAACUCCGUGCCAGCAGCAGCCGCCGCCGUAAC
Molecule: ribosomal RNA, 484 nt
Filed under: uncultured bacterium
Lineage: Bacteria
Description: bacterial SSU rRNA
Rfam family: Bacterial small subunit ribosomal RNA
Source: RNAcentral